GCCGCGGUGCUGGAAUAGGUAGACAGGACGGACUUAAAAUCCGUUGGGCCUAGCUCGUGUGGGUUCGAUUCCCACCCGCGGCAC
Molecule: transfer RNA, 84 nt
Filed under: Parcubacteria group bacterium ADurb.Bin216
Lineage: Bacteria
Also listed under: 1 other name
Description: tRNA-Leu
Rfam family: tRNA
About the family: Transfer RNA (tRNA) molecules are approximately 80 nucleotides in length.
Source: RNAcentral